This 433-nucleotide ribosomal RNA is filed under the name uncultured bacterium. RNAcentral's name for it is "partial 16S ribosomal RNA". It matches the Rfam family "Bacterial small subunit ribosomal RNA", at positions 29 to 507 of the family's 1533-position model. The record is from RNAcentral.
AACGAACGCUGGCGGCAGGCCUAACACAUGCAAGUCGAGCGAGGACUUCGGUCCUAGCGGCGGACGGGUGAGUAACGCGUGGGAACGUGCCCUUUGCUUCGGAAUAGCCCUGGGAAACUGGGAGUAAUACCGGAUGAGCCCUUUGGGGGAAAGAUUUAUCGGCGAAGGAUCGGCCCGCGUUGGAUUAGGUUGUUGGUGGGGUAAUGGCCUACCAAGCCGACGAUCCAUAGCUGGUUUGAGAGGAUGAUCAGCCACACUGGGACUGAGACACGGCCCAGACUCCUACGGGAGGCAGCAGUGGGGAAUCUUAGAAAAUGGGGGAAAACCUGAUCUAGCCAUGCCGCGUGAGCGAUGAAGGCCUUAGGGUUGUAAAGCUCUUUCAGCUGGGAAGAUAAUGACGGUACCAGCAGAAGAAGCCCCGGCUAACUCCGUG